AUACGUACUGGGCGAACGUUAUUCGGGAUCACUGGGCUUAAAGGGUGCGUAGGCGGUCCGGCAAGUCAGAAGUGAAAUCCCCCGGCCCAACCGGGGAACUGCGUUUGAAACUGCCGGACUUGAGUGCGAUAGGGGUGUGCGGAACUUCCAGUGGAGCGGUGAAAUGUGUUGAUAUUGGAAGGAACGCCGGUGGCGAAAGCGGCACACUGGGUCGCAACUGACGCUGAGGCACGAAAGCCAGGGGAGCGAACGGGAUUAGAAACCCUUGUAGUCC
This 274-nucleotide ribosomal RNA is filed under the name uncultured bacterium. RNAcentral describes it as "partial 16S ribosomal RNA". It matches the Rfam family "Bacterial small subunit ribosomal RNA", at positions 523 to 796 of the family's 1533-position model. The record is from RNAcentral.